GACAACAUUGCCUGGAGAGCUGAAACAGGUGAUCCAAAUGCUGCAUAAGGUGAGGGCAAAGAGCACCAGCCUCGCCCACUCCAGCUGUAUUUUCUCAUGUGUCUCAUUGACAAAAGCUAGGAGUUUACGAAAUAGAGAAUGGUUUCCACCCAAAAGGAGAUUCACAGUCCUUGCUGCCCUCUAACUCCAUUACAAAUUCAAGACACACACACCACAUUCAGUGGAAGCUUUGUAAAGUGCUAACAAAGGCACACUUGAUUAGGCUUUCUGGAAUGGGUAGCCAUAUCAACUUGUCCCCCUCCCAGAGAAGAGAGGUAACAUCAACCAACAAGGCUUGCUUUCUUGGUGUACACCUGCGGGCUCAUGACCUAUUGGCACCUCCCACAGUGCAGUUUCUCAAAUAAACCUCUCAGUUCUUUGGGUGAGGACUGAACAGACUGAAACUAACUCCCUCUAUAUGCAUGCUACUUUUUGAACUGCAAAAACUUCUAUGGGUUUGGAGGUGCCAUCCAAUGGUAUAGAAAUUGUUUGCCAUGC
Perognathus longimembris pacificus (Pacific pocket mouse) is the source of this 537-nucleotide long non-coding RNA. RefSeq lists it as uncharacterized. The transcript has 3 exons. The record is from RefSeq and is a predicted model, not a curated record. NCBI's taxonomy places the organism in Eukaryota, Metazoa, Chordata, Mammalia, Rodentia, Heteromyidae.